This 221-nucleotide long non-coding RNA is filed under the name Manihot esculenta (cassava). RNAcentral describes it as "long non-coding RNA (MESC_LNC012475)". Lineage: Eukaryota; Viridiplantae; Streptophyta; Magnoliopsida; Malpighiales; Euphorbiaceae. The record is from RNAcentral.
UUGCCAACUUUCAUCAUCAUCCCAUACAUCUUGAAGCUCUUCCUCUCUUCUUAACAUGGUUGCAUUCAAUGAUUUGUUCAAUUGAUCCUGUUGCUGUUGGAUACUCUGCAAAGUCUUCAUAAUCUCAUCAAGAUUGGAACUUUGAGGUUCUGGUUGGGCUUGAUAUCCUUGAUAAUCCUGGUAGUUGUUAGCCUCUGCAUAACUGAAGUCUGGAUAGUCUC